Long non-coding RNA from Corapipo altera (White-ruffed manakin), 320 nucleotides. RefSeq lists it as uncharacterized. The record is from RefSeq and is a predicted model, not a curated record. Lineage: Eukaryota; Metazoa; Chordata; Aves; Passeriformes; Pipridae. The transcript has 3 exons.
ACUGGCCAAUGGUGAUCCUACCCUGACCCUGCUGGUCAUUGUCCACUAACAUGUAAUGUUACCAGUGAAGAAAGCAGUAACAGAACUUGAGAGAGUCUCUGGUAAGAGACAUACUGCCUGGAACAGUUGGAAUGCACACCCUGUGUGAACGAACACACAUAUAAGCUCCUGAUUCUCCAGAGACUAUGAUGGACUGACUCAUCUUGAGCACUUUCAUGUCACGGAAUGCUUUAUCAGCUUAAAAAGAAGAAUACAUUAAACCUGACACAUACUAAUAUUCAGCAGAAUUGCAAGGAUAAAGUUGAGCUACAAUGCAAAAA